This 635-nucleotide ribosomal RNA is filed under the name Rhodococcus sp. So2Ps_1648. RNAcentral's name for it is "bacterial SSU rRNA". It matches the Rfam family "Bacterial small subunit ribosomal RNA", at positions 383 to 1030 of the family's 1533-position model. Lineage: Bacteria; Bacillati; Actinomycetota; Actinomycetes; Mycobacteriales; Nocardiaceae. The record is from RNAcentral.
CUGAUGCAGCGACGCCGCGUGAGGGAUGACGGCCUUCGGGUUGUAAACCUCUUUCAGCAGGGACGAAGCGAGAGUGACGGUACCUGCAGAAGAAGCACCGGCCAACUACGUGCCAGCAGCCGCGGUAAUACGUAGGGUGCGAGCGUUGUCCGGAAUUACUGGGCGUAAAGAGCUCGUAGGCGGUUUGUCGCGUCGUCCGUGAAAACUUGGGGCUCAACCCCAAGCUUGCGGGCGAUACGGGCAGACUUGAGUACUGCAGGGGAGACUGGAAUUCCUGGUGUAGCGGUGAAAUGCGCAGAUAUCAGGAGGAACACCGGUGGCGAAGGCGGGUCUCUGGGCAGUAACUGACGCUGAGGAGCGAAAGCGUGGGUAGCGAACAGGAUUAGAUACCCUGGUAGUCCACGCCGUAAACGGUGGGCGCUAGGUGUGGGUUUCCUUCCACGGGAUCCGUGCCGUAGCUAACGCAUUAAGCGCCCCGCCUGGGGAGUACGGCCGCAAGGCUAAAACUCAAAGGAAUUGACGGGGGCCCGCACAAGCGGCGGAGCAUGUGGAUUAAUUCGAUGCAACGCGAAGAACCUUACCUGGGUUUGACAUAUACCGGAAAGCCGUAGAGAUACGGCCCCCCUUGUGGUCGG